AAUGGGUCAGCGACUUAUAUUCUGUAGCAAGGUUAACCGAAUAGGGGAGCCGAAGGGAAACCGAGUCUUAACUGGGCGUUAAGUUGCAGGGUAUAGACCCGAAACCCGGUGAUCUAGCCAUGGGCAGGUUGAAGGUUGGGUAACACUAACUGGAGGACCGAACCGACUAAUGUUGAAAAAUUAGCGGAUGACUUGUGGCUGGGGGUGAAAGGCCAAUCAAACCGGGAGAUAGCUGGUUCUCCCCGAAAGCUAUUUAGGUAGCGCCUCGUGAAUUCAUCUCCGGGGGUAGAGCACUGUUUCGGCAAGGGGGUCAUCCCGACUUACCAACCCGAUGCAAACUGCGAAUACCGGAGAAUGUUAUCACGGGAGACACACGGCGGGUGCUAACGUCCGUCGUGAAGAGGGAAACAACCCAGACCGCCAGCUAAGGUCCCAAAGUCAUGGUUAAGUGGGAAACGAUGUGGGAAGGCCCAGACAGCCAGGAUGUUGGCUUAGAAGCAGCCAUCAUUUAAAGAAAGCGUAAUAGCUCACUGGUCGAGUCGGCCUGCGCGGAAGAUGUAACGGGGCUAAACCAUGCACCGAAGCUGCGGCAGCGACACUAUGUGUUGUUGGGUAGGGGAGCGUUCUGUAAGCCUGUGAAGGUGUACUGUGAGGUAUGCUGGAGGUAUCAGAAGUGCGAAUGCUGACAUAAGUAACGAUAAAGCGGGUGAAAAGCCCGCUCGCCGGAAGACCAAGGGUU
RNAcentral lists this ribosomal RNA (739 nucleotides) under Escherichia coli. RNAcentral's name for it is "partial 23S ribosomal RNA". It matches the Rfam family "Bacterial large subunit ribosomal RNA", at positions 614 to 1353 of the family's 2925-position model. The record is from RNAcentral. Lineage: Bacteria; Pseudomonadati; Pseudomonadota; Gammaproteobacteria; Enterobacterales; Enterobacteriaceae.